Molecule: ribosomal RNA, 499 nt
Filed under: uncultured Opitutales bacterium
Lineage: Bacteria; Pseudomonadati; Verrucomicrobiota; Opitutia; Opitutales
Description: bacterial SSU rRNA
Rfam family: Bacterial small subunit ribosomal RNA
Source: RNAcentral
UUCGGGACUGGUGCACAGGUGCUGCAUGGCUGUCGUCAGCUCGUGUCGUGAGAUGUUGCGUUAAGUCGCGCAACGAGCGCAACCCCUGUCCUUAGUUGCCAUCAUUAAGUUGGGCACUCUAAGGAGACAAACCCUCUCUGAGGGUGGGAAGGUGGGGAUGACGUCAAGUCAGGAUGGCCCUUACGGCCUGGGCUGCACACGUACUACAAUGCUCGGCACAGAGGGAAGCAAUACCGCGAGGUGGAGCAAAUCCUCAAAACCGAGCCCAGUUCAGAUUGUAGUCUGCAACUCGACUACAUGAAGUUGGAAUCGCUAGUAAUGGCGCAUCAGCUACGGCGCCGUGAAUACGUUCCCGGGCCUUGUACACACCGCCCGUCACAUCAUGAAAGCCGGUUUCGCCCGAAGUAUGUUUGCCAACCCGCAAGGGAGGCGGCGUCCUAAGGUGAGGCUGGUGAUUGGGAUGAAGUCGUAACAAGGUAACCGUAGGGGAACCUGCGGC